RNAcentral lists this ribosomal RNA (508 nucleotides) under uncultured bacterium. RNAcentral describes it as "bacterial SSU rRNA". It matches the Rfam family "Bacterial small subunit ribosomal RNA", at positions 15 to 507 of the family's 1533-position model. The record is from RNAcentral.
GAUCAUGGCUCAGAUUGAACGCUGGCGGCAGGCCUAACACAUGCAAGUCGAACGGCAGCACUAUUUAGUUUACUAGAGAGGUGGCGAGUGGCGAACGGGUGAGUAACGCGUAGGAAUAUACCUUUAAAAGAGGGGGGGACAACCUGGGGGAAACUCAGGCUAAUACCGCAUACGUCCUACGGGAGAAANCGGGGGAUCUUCGGACCUCGCGCCAUUAGAUGAGCCUAGGUCGGAUUAGCUAGUUGGUGAGGUAAUGGCUCACCAAGGCGACGAUCCGUAACUGGUCUGAGAGGAUGAUCAGUCACACUGGAACUGAGACACGGUCCAGACUCCUACGGGAGGCAGCAGUGGGGAAUAUUGGACAAUGGGCGAAAGCCUGAUCCAGCCAUGCCGCGUGUGUGAAGAAGGUCUUCGGAUUGUAAAGCACUUUAAGUUGGGAGGAAGGGUAGUAACCUAAUACGUUGCUACUUUGACGUUACCGACAGAAUAAGCACCGGCUAACUUCGUG